This 446-nucleotide ribosomal RNA is filed under the name Brevundimonas sp. RNAcentral's name for it is "bacterial SSU rRNA". It matches the Rfam family "Bacterial small subunit ribosomal RNA", at positions 32 to 523 of the family's 1533-position model. The record is from RNAcentral. Lineage: Bacteria; Pseudomonadati; Pseudomonadota; Alphaproteobacteria; Caulobacterales; Caulobacteraceae.
CGACGCUGGCGGCAGGCCUAACACAUGCAAGUCGAACGAACUCUUCGGAGUUAGUGGCGGACGGGUGAGUAACACGUGGGAACGUGCCUUUAGGUUCGGAAUAACUCAGGGAAACUUGUGCUAAUACCGAAUGUGCCCUUCGGGGGAAAGAUUUAUCGCCUUUAGAGCGGCCCGCGUCUGAUUAGCUAGUUGGUGAGGUAAAGGCUUACCAAGGCGACGAUCAGUAGCUGGUCUGAGAGGAUGAUCAGCCACAUUGGGACUGAGACACGGCCCAAACUCCUACGGGAGGCAGCAGUGGGGAAUCUUGCGCAAUGGGCGAAAGCCUGACGCAGCCAUGCCGCGUGAAUGAUGAAGGUCUUAGGAUUGUAAAAUUCUUUCACCGGGGACGAUAAUGACGGUACCCGGAGAAGAAGCCCCGGCUAACUUCGUGCCAGCAGCCGCGGUUA